UGGCUUACGUCAUCACUUUCAAGAAUGUCA
RNAcentral lists this non-coding RNA (30 nucleotides) under Mus musculus (house mouse). The record is from RNAcentral. Lineage: Eukaryota; Metazoa; Chordata; Mammalia; Rodentia; Muridae.